Molecule: ribosomal RNA, 501 nt
Filed under: uncultured bacterium
Lineage: Bacteria
Description: partial 16S ribosomal RNA
Rfam family: Bacterial small subunit ribosomal RNA
Source: RNAcentral
AUUGAACGCUGGCGGCAGGCUUAACACAUGCAAGUCGGGCGGGGGAAGGUAGCUUGCUACCGGACCCAGCGGCGGACGGGUGAGUAAUGCUUAGGAAUAUGCCUAUUAGUGGGGGACAACAGCUCGCAAGGGAUGCUAAUACCGCAUACGUCCUACGGGAGAAAGCAGGGGAUCUUCGGACCUUGCGCUAAUAGAUGAGCCUAAGUCGGAUUAGCUAGUUGGUGGGGUAAAGGCCUAACAAGGCGACGAUCUGUAGCGGGUCUGAGAGGAUGAUCAGCCACACUGGGACUGAGACACGGCCCAGACUCCUACGGGAGGCAGCAGUGGGGAAUAUUGGACAAUGGGGGGAACCCUGAUCCAGCCAUGCCGCGUGUGUGAAGAAGGCCUUAUGGUUGUAGAGCACUUUAAGCGAGGAGGAGGCUACUUUAGUUAAUACCUAGAGAUAGUGGACGUUACUCGCAGAAUAAGCACCGGCUAACUCUGUGCCAGCAGCCGCGGUAA